AUGAAUCCCAACACCAUUAUCAAGGCCCUUCGGGGCACCAUGGACCCUGCCCUGCGUGAGGCCACGGAGUGACAGCUUAAUGAAGCACACAAGUCUCUGAAUUUUGUGUCAACACUGCUUCAGAUUACUAUGUCGGAACAACUGGAAUUACCUGUGAGACAGGCAGGUGUUAUAUAUUUGAAAAAUAUGAUAACACAGUAUUGGCCUGAUUGAGAGACAGCACCAGGGGAUAUAUCCCCUUACACUAUUCCAGAAGAAGAUCGACAUUGUAUUCGAGAAAAUAUUGUAGAAGCCAUUAUCCACUUGCCUGAGCUUAUAAGGGUACAGCUUACUACAUGCAUUCACCAUAUCAUCAAACAUGAUUAUCCAAGCCGUUGGACUGCCACUGUGGACAAAAUUGGCUUUUUAUCUUCAGUCUGAUAACAGUGCUUGCUGGCUAGGCAUUCUUCUUUGCCUUUAUCAGCUUGUGAAAAAUUAUGAGUGUAAGAAACCAGAGGAACGGAGUCCAUUGGUAGCAGCAAUGCAGCAUUUCUUGCCAGGUCUAAAGGAUCGUUUUAUCCAGCUUCUUCCAGAUCAGUCAGAUCAGUCUGUCUUAAUCCAGAAACAAAUACUCAAGAUUUUCUAUGCUCUUGUUCAGUAUACACUACCUUUGGAACUGAUAAACCAACAGAAUUUGACCGAAUGGAUAGAAAUUUUAAAGACGGUUGUGAACAGAGAUGUACCUAAUGAAACACUGCAAGUUGAAGAAGAUGAUAGACCCGAGUUGCCAUGGUGGAAAUGUAAGAAGUGGGCUUUACAUAUCUUAGCAAGGCUUUUUGAAAGAUAUGGAAGUCCUGGCAAUGUUUCCAAGGAGUAUAAUGAAUUUGCUGAAGUAUUUCUGAAAGCAUUUGCUGUUGGGGUCCAGCAAGUUUUAUUGAAGGUAUUAUAUCAGUACAAGGAAAAGCAAUACAUGGCUCCUCAAGUUUUGCAACAGACAUUAAAUUACAUUGAUCAAGGAGUUUCCCAUGCCCUCACCUGGAAAAAUCUGAAGCCUCAUAUACAAGGCAUUAUCCAAGAUGUUAUUUUUCCAUUGAUGUGCUAUACAGAUGCUGAUGAAGAACUUUGGCAAGAAGACCCUUAUGAAUAUAUACGUAUGAAGUUUGAUGUAUUUGAAGAUUUCAUUUCUCCUACCACUGCUGCCCAGACACUUUUGUUUACAGCGUGUAGUAAGAGAAAAGAGGUUCUGCAAAAGACUAUGGGAUUUUGCUAUCAGAUUCUUACAGAACAAAAUGCUGAUCCUCGAAAAAAAGAUGGUGCCCUGCAUAUGAUUGGAUCUUUAGCAGAAAUACUUCUGAAGAAAAAGAUCUACAAAGAUCAGAUGGAAUACAUGUUGCAGAAUCAUGUAUUCCCUCUCUUCAGCAGUGAACUAGGAUACAUGAGAGCAAGGGCUUGCUGGGUCCUUCAUUAUUUUUGUGAAGUAAAGUUCAAAAGCGACCGGAACCUGCAAACAGCCUUAGAACUAACAAGAGGAUGUCUGAUAGAGGAUAGGGAAAUGCCUGUGAAAGUGGAGGCUGCUAUUGCACUUCAGGUGUUGAUCAGCAAUCAAGAAAAAGCUAAAGAAUAUAUCACUCCAUUCAUUAGACCUGUUAUGCAGGCUCUUCUUCACAUUAUAAGAGAAACUGAAAAUGAUGAUCUUACCAAUGUAAUUCAGAAAAUGAUCUGCGAGUAUAGUGAAGAAGUAACUCCUAUUGCAGUAGAAAUGACACAACAUUUGGCAAUGACAUUUAAUCAGGUAAUUCAGACUGGGCCAGAUGAAGAAGGAAGUGAUGACAAAGCUGUUACUGCUAUGGGAAUCUUGAAUACAAUUGACACACUUCUUAGUGUAGUUGAAGAUCAUAAAGAGAUAACCCAGCAACUUGAGGGGAUCUGCUUACAGGUCAUUGGUACUGUUUUACAACAGCAUGUCUUAGAAUUCUAUGAGGAGAUCUUCUCAUUAGCACAUAGUUUGACUUGUCAACAGGUGUCUCCACAGAUGUGGCAACUACUACCUCUUGUGUUUGAGGUCUUUCAGCAAGAUGGCUUUGAUUACUUUACAGAUAUGAUGCCUCUGCUUCAUAAUUAUGUAACAGUUGAUACAGAUACACUUUUAUCUGAUACAAAGUAUCUGGAAAUGAUCUAUAGUAUGUGCAAAAAGGUUCUUACAGGAGUUGCAGGAGAAGAUGCACAAUGUCAUGCAGCAAAAUUAUUGGAGGUCAUCAUUCUGCAGUGCAAAGGACAUGGCAUUGAUCAGUGCAUUCCCUUAUUUGUGGAAGCUGCCUUAGAGAGACUGACCAGAGAAGUUAAGACGAGUGAACUUCGAACAAUGUGCCUGCAAGUUGCUAUUGCAGCGUUGUAUUAUAAUCCUCACCUACUGCUGAAUACCUUAGAAAAUCUUCGCUUUCCUAAUAAUGUUGAACCAGUUACAAAUCAUUUUAUUACACAGUGGCUUAAUGAUGUUGAUUGUUUCUUGGGGCUUCAUGACAGAAAGAUGUGUGUUCUGGGCUUCUGUGCUCUUAUUGAUAUGGAACAAAUACCCCAGGUUUUAAAUCAGGUUUCGGGACAGAUUUUGCCAGCAUUUAUCCUUUUAUUUAAUGGAUUAAAAAGAGCAUAUGCUUGCCAUGCAGAACACGAGAAUGACAGUGAGGAUGACGAUGAAGGUGAAGAUGAUGAUGAAACAGAGGAACUAGGAAGUGAUGAAGAUGAUAUUGAUGAAGAUAACCAGGAAUAUCUGGAGAUUCUGGCUAAGCAGGCAGGUGAAGAUGGAGAUGAUGAAGAUUGGGAAGAAGACGAUGCUGAAGAGACUGCUCUGGAAGGCUAUUCCACAAUCAUUGAUGAUGAAGACAACCCUGUUGAUGAGUAUCAGAUAUUUAAAGCUAUAUUCCAAACUAUUCAGAAUCGUAAUCCUGUAUGGUACCAGGCUCUGACUCAUGGUCUUAAUGAGGAACAAAGAAUACAGUUACAGGAUAUUGAAACUCUGGCAGAUCAAAGAAGAGCAGCCCAUGAAUCCAAAAUGAUUGAGAAGUAUGGAGGAUACAAAUUCAGUGCUCCAGUUGUGCCAAGUUCUUUCAAUUUUGGAGGCCCGGCACCAGGGAUGAAUUGGGUUAUUACUUUCUUUCCUGCUGUGUGUUUGUAGUGAAGAGCUUGUGUUCCUCCUAGUAGUGGUUCCAGAACUGGUUCAUGUCCAUCAAUAGAUUGGACAGAAAAACCCAAGUGGGACCUGAUCAUGCAACCUGGCACUGGAAAGAAAAAACCCAGAGGGAUUUUGGGGGGAGGGAAUAAUUUAGGGGGGAUUUUAUUUUUUGAAGAAAGUAAGAUUCUGAUUCUGAAGCUUCAAAUGACACUGUGGAAUUCUGUGUGCAAGAGGGAAUGUCAUGAAGGCAGCUUUUCUUUUUCUGAGGAAAAAAUAGGCAUGGGCUACAGGACUAUUUAAAAUGUCUCAUUUACAGUAUAAGCUCAAAGGUAGAUGUAAUUUUUACACCUAUGAGUUAUUUGUCCAAUUCUAUCUCUUCUACACCAUUGGGUAUCUAUUCUUUACAUGUAAAUAAGGUAAGGUAAUCUGGUAGCCUUAUUCAGUCUUCUCAUUUCCAUCCAUCAGAAAUUGUUCCUAUGUAGAUUAUUGGACAUUUCUUGUAGCACUACAUAACUGAUUUUAAAAAAAAUCUGUAAAUGAAUUAGCACUUUCAUAUUGAAACAAGCCUGUUAGCCUAUGAAUAGCAAAAUGUUUGCUGUUUAUUAAAAGAAGGGAUGUAAUAGGGUGGGGCGGGUGGGGUAAUUUCAAGUUAUUAAUUUAAAAAAUGAACUAGAAUUUUGUACCUGGUGACUUUGUGGUACACUCACCUCUGAUAGUGACUUGAAUUCGGUAUGUACGAAGGGGUUAGUGAUAUUUCAUUGCUGCUAAGAAAAAAUGGCAACUCCCUUCAUGUCCUGUUUUUCUUAAAGCUCUCAGUGUACAAGUCAAAAUUUGGAUACAUGGCCUUCCUUACUGUAACAAAUAAGAAAAGCUUGUUUGAAGCAUGUAAUUGGACAUAAAGUUCUACUCUUAAAGAGUGGAUCAAAGAGUGUGGCUAAACAUCUAUAUAUGCAGCCUUAUUAAAAAAACUUAAU
Molecule: RNA transcript, 4122 nt
Organism: Elephantulus edwardii (Cape elephant shrew)
Lineage: Eukaryota; Metazoa; Chordata; Mammalia; Macroscelidea; Macroscelididae
Gene name: importin 7 pseudogene
Exons: 1
Source: RefSeq, a predicted model, not a curated record